This 253-nucleotide ribosomal RNA is filed under the name uncultured bacterium. Its description in RNAcentral is "partial 16S ribosomal RNA". It matches the Rfam family "Bacterial small subunit ribosomal RNA", at positions 524 to 776 of the family's 1533-position model. The record is from RNAcentral.
UACAGAGGUCCCGAGCGUUGUUCGGAUUCAUUGGGCGUAAAGGGUGCGUAGGCGGCGGGGCAAGUCUGAUGGGAAAUCCCGGGGCUCAACCCCGGAACUGCAUUGGAUACUGCCUUGCUAGAGUACUGGAGAGGGAACUGGAAUUUACGGUGUAGCAGUGAAAUGCGUAGAGAUCGUAAGGAAGGCCAGUGGCGAAGGCGAGUUCCUGGACAGUAACUGACGCUGAGGCACGAAGGCCAGUGGAGCAAACGGG